RNAcentral lists this transfer RNA (74 nucleotides) under Mus musculus (house mouse). RNAcentral's name for it is "tRNA-Gly". The stretch from base 7 to 69 matches the Rfam family "tRNA", at positions 5 to 66 of the family's 71-position model. Rfam says of the family: Transfer RNA (tRNA) molecules are approximately 80 nucleotides in length. Their secondary structure includes four short double-helical elements and three loops (D, anti-codon, and T loops). The record is from RNAcentral. Lineage: Eukaryota; Metazoa; Chordata; Mammalia; Rodentia; Muridae.
UUGAAGGUGUAGCUCAGUGGUAGAGCAUUCGCCUCCCAUCUGUGAGGCUCUGAGUUCUAUUCCCAGCACUGAAA